RNAcentral lists this ribosomal RNA (253 nucleotides) under uncultured bacterium. Its description in RNAcentral is "partial 16S ribosomal RNA". It matches the Rfam family "Bacterial small subunit ribosomal RNA", at positions 524 to 776 of the family's 1533-position model. The record is from RNAcentral.
GACGUAGGGCGCGAGCGUUGUCCGGAUUUAUUGGGCGUAAAGAGCUCGUAGGCGGCUUGUCGCGUCGACUGUGAAAUCCCGCGGCUCAACUGCGGGUCUGCAGUCGAUACGGGCAGGCUAGAGUUCGGUAGGGGAGACUGGAAUUCCUGGUGUAGCGGUGAAAUGCGCAGAUAUCAGGAGGAACACCGGUGGCGAAGGCGGGUCUCUGGGCCGAAACUGACGCUGAGGAGCGAAAGCGUGGGGGGCAAACAGG